RNAcentral lists this ribosomal RNA (549 nucleotides) under uncultured Glomeraceae. RNAcentral describes it as "SSU rRNA". It matches the Rfam family "Eukaryotic small subunit ribosomal RNA", at positions 548 to 1098 of the family's 1831-position model. The record is from RNAcentral. Lineage: Eukaryota; Fungi; Glomeromycota; Glomeromycetes; Glomerales; Glomeraceae.
UUGGAGGGCAAGUCUGGUGCCAGCAGCCGCGGUAAUUCCAGCUCCAAUAGCGUAUAUUAAAGUUGUUGCAGUUAAAAAGCUCGUAGUUGAAUUUCGGGGUCAGUAGGUUGGUCAUGCCACUGGUAUGUACUGGUCUCACUGAUUCCUCCUUCCUGAUGAGCUGUAAUGCCAUUAAUUUGGUGUUGCGGGGAAUCUGGACUGUUACUUUGAAAAAAUUAGAGUGUUUAAAGCAGGCUAACGCCUGAAUACAUUAGCAUGGAAUAAUGAAAUAGGACGUUUGAUUCUAUUUUGUUGGUUUCUAGGAUCGACGUAAUGAUUAAUAGGGAUAGUUGGGGGCAUUAGUAUUCAAUUGUCAGAGGUGAAAUUCUUGGAUUUAUUGAAGACUAACUACUGCGAAAGCAUUUGCCAAGGAUGUUUUCAUUAAUCAAGAACGAAAGUUAGGGGAUCGAAGACGAUCGGAUACCGUCGUAGUCUUAACCAUAAACUAUGCCGACUAGGGAUCGGAUGAUGUUAAUUUUUUAAUGACUCAUUCGGCGCCUUACGGGAAAC